UGGACACAUCCUCUUAUACGAGGAGAAAAAAUGGAGAAAAAGGCAGGGUGAUUAAAAAAAAAGGUUGGAUGAUUUCAUUGAGAAGCCUCCUUAGUUUACUAAUAUAGGAAGAGCCCUUUUAAAUUAACACUUUGGCUCCUAUGAGAAGUGUGGACAUGCUGCACACAGAAGACCUACUCUCUGAUUGCAUUUGGAUAAGAACCUACUUUACGG
RNAcentral lists this unclassified non-coding RNA (213 nucleotides) under Hevea brasiliensis (rubber tree). Lineage: Eukaryota; Viridiplantae; Streptophyta; Magnoliopsida; Malpighiales; Euphorbiaceae. The record is from RNAcentral.